Unclassified non-coding RNA from Macaca fascicularis (crab-eating macaque), 298 nucleotides. It matches the Rfam family "Metazoan signal recognition particle RNA". Rfam says of the family: The signal recognition particle (SRP) is a universally conserved ribonucleoprotein. It is involved in the co-translational targeting of proteins to membranes. NCBI's taxonomy places the organism in Eukaryota, Metazoa, Chordata, Mammalia, Primates, Cercopithecidae. The record is from Ensembl.
GCCAGGCACAUUAACCUGUGUCUGGAGUCCCAGCUAAUCGGGAGGCUGAGGCAGGAGGGUCACUUGAGUCCACGACUUCUGGGCUGUAGUGCACUAUGAAGAUGGGUGUCCGCGCUAAGUUCGGCAUCAAUAUGGUGACCUCCUGGGAGCAGGGUCCACCAGGUUGCCUAAGGAGGAGUGGACCACCCCAGGCCAGAAAGGGAGCAGGUCAAAACUCCUAUGCUGAUCAGUAGUGGGAUUGUACCUGUGAACAGCCACUGCACUCUGGCCUGGGCAACAUAGCAAGACCAUGCCUCUG